UAUAAGGUUUAUAGGCACUGGGCCCAAUUAUACAUUCUGUUACAUACUAAGGGUAUAUGAAAAACAUAGACUUGGAAAUGCAAAGAAAGCUGACCCAAGAGCACAGCAUUCUUCCCGACCGAGUUGCCUCGGAAAGUGUAUCCAAGUCUACAAGAUGUGCACAGGUGGAGAGAUGAGAAUGGCGGGUGUGCACAUGCCCCCAAGAGGGCCAGCAACAACCACACCAAGUUCAUUCAAUAAUGAUCCUUCCGCAGGUUCACCUACGGAAA
This 269-nucleotide unclassified non-coding RNA is filed under the name uncultured fungus. RNAcentral's name for it is "sequence contains ITS1". Lineage: Eukaryota; Fungi. The record is from RNAcentral.